GCCCGCAGCCCUCAGGGCCCGGCCCGGCCCGGAGCAGGCCUCGCCUGGGAGCCUCGGGGGGACGCCCGCCGUGCCCCUGAGGGAAGGGCUCUCGGCUCCCUUGGCUCCCCCUCAGCGCUCUCCGAAACGUGGCCGCGUUGCCAGCUCGUCCUGUUGGGCAGGGAGAGGCUGCGGGAGAUUUGUUAACCGGGGGGUUGCUUUUAACUUGGUCACAGGCAGCGUGGAGGAGCUGGGAGGAGAGGGGUUAGCAGCGUGCCCGUGUGCGAGCGUUUGGGGAGAAGGAAAGAAGCCUCUCCACUGACAGUACGUGGACAGAAACAGAUUCCCUGACAAAAAGGAACAAUCCCUGGGGCAGAACAAUCAAUAUUUUAAAAGCUUUGCCCUGCCUCCCUCGUGACUUUUAAAAAUGUAUCACAAUGGGCCACACAACUGAGCGCCGAGUCCUGACGCAGUGUCGGUGCCUCUGAUGACGCAAGCUACGAACUCCUUGCUUCUCCGUAACAAAAUACACUUCUCUGUAAGAGUCAGGACUUUCAACAGCAAAUACCACCCCUUGAUACCAAAGCUCUUCUUCUCAGGGGCAGGUUGCUUGAGCUACCAACUACUGCUCUAAAGCGACAGAGGAGCACAGAGUGCUGGUUUCCCCAGGGCUGAGGAUGCCACGCAGGAUACCAGCGAAUCCAACCUCAUCUCACCAAAAGCUGCUGAGCUCCAGCCAUGCCUGGCUGUCCUUUCUGAUCCUGCCACUUGUGCUUGGGGCAUUCGAAAGGUGCUUUGUACAGCUGCAUCUAUUCUCCCAGCAUCGAUUUCCACUGCUACUCAGACACCUUCAUCUCCUCUUCCUUUUUAAUGUCCUUAAGAACUGAAGAAAUCCAAGAGCAGGCACCGAGGGAAGCCCAGGUUUGUGCUCAGCAGCAGCCGCUGCCUGCACAAGGAGGGCUGGCACAACCUCGUGCACAAACCAGCGUGGCACCAAGAGCAGCACCUGGGGAGUGCACUCAGCCUGUUUCCUUCAGAAACUCGGUCUGUAACACUUCCUGACACCUUUGAUUCAGCCUUCGCAGUGUAAAGGCUGGACCUGAUGCUUAGGGACAUGGUUUAGUGGGUAACAUUGGUGAUGGUUGGACCAGAUGAUCUUGAAGGGCUUUUCCAACCUUAAUUCUAUGUCCAAAUUUUGCUUGCAGCGUGCACACAUGUGCAAAAGUCCCUCUCUGCCAGCUCCAUGAAAGUCUGUUUUUGUGAGGCUUAGGCAGCGAUCUGGGGCUAGCACCUUGUCUAGCCAGCACCGCUCUAAAAGCAUAGAUCUGCUGCUGCUGCAUCAAAACAUACGACAACAACAGAGUUGGUUUUGAUUUAGGAUCAAUAAGACAACAACAGAGUUGGUUUUGAUUUAGGAUCAAUAAGCAGAUAGAAGCAGCUCUAAAUAAGUUAUGCUGGGAGUAAAAAUAGCAGAGAACGUGAUGUAAUCCAAAACACGGCAAGAAAUCUAAGUACUUCAAACACCCAGUCAAUUAAUUUGCUUUCAUAAUGCAAUUAUUUGUAUUAUUAAGAGAAACUCAUUUUCAUGGAUUAAAUUUACUCAGCCCAACAUAAUUCACAUUUCCUUCCCAGAUUUCUAUUAGAGAAAAUAGAUCUCAAGGCAGAUGGUACGAGUCUGAAUAAGCUGUAUAAAAAUAAAGCUGAUGUCCUUGUGAGGUUAAUGACUGCUGAGAAAAAAAACAAAAGGCAUUUCUCCAGUAAUGUGCUAAACAAAAAUUACAUUUGUAAGAUAAUCCAUAAGGAAGAAAGAGAUUCCUGCUCUUUGCUUCUCAGAGCUGCUAUCAUUUGAAUAUUGCGCAGAGAUACUACAAAAUUAGCAUGUACUCAGAAAGGGUUCAGAGAAAGAUCAGAUGAAAUUAGAUAGAAAAUAAUGAGAUUUACAUUGGAAAAGAAGGCAAAUAAAAAGGGCACAAUAAAAAUGCGUAAAUAGAUGUAGUGAUGUAAAAAAAAAAAAGUAGAUCUGGACCUUCUGCAAUCUGUGCCUCCUAAAAUGAGAGCAGGAGGUGAAAGGGGCAGAACUGGUGUAAGGAAGCAUGAUGAGAACGAAGAGCGGUAUUGGUGUCACAGCAAGGCCAGGAGCUUUGUGGUGUCUGAAAGCAAGUGUUUGGCCCUUCUGGCUCCCAUGCAAACUCGUUGUGGUCCACACGGGCCUGGGGUCCUGCGUGGCUGUCUCCCACUCCCUAUGGGGGCACAGCCACAGACCCCCGAAGCUCGCCCACGCUGCAGGCGAUGAUGGCAGCUCCCUCCUCUACCAAGCCUUUGUGGAUGGGACGAACGUGAAGGGCCACCUGCACGCAGAAGAGCUGUGGGGUCGUGUGUACUGAGGCCACCCAGCCCUGCCCAAGCACCGCCAACAGCGACCGCCUCUCACUGCCUCUGUUCUGCUGAGAACUCUACUCUCUUCUACUGGAGAGCUUACAGAGGCUUAAGCCAGUUGAUUCUCCUAUGGUUCACACUUCUACCUUGACAAAUUCUUCCUCCUUCUUCCCCGUUUCUGCCCCUAGCACAGCAGGACUCACGCUGCUGGACAAGGCAGCACGAACUCAGCCGUGUCGGCGCAGCUGCCAGCAGCCUUCAGAGGUCACGGCACCACCAGCGGCAGAGCCGAGCAGGCCUACGUAUUUUCCCUGUGCUCCCAAAACACUGAUUAAAGUUACCCGUGACAAAGAAAGGGAAUUGCACUUUGCUAAGUACCCAUUUCAUUUAAUCCAAGGUAGCAAUCAUAAUGAGCCUGUCAAGCAGAUCAGAGCGGGUCGGCCCGGAUCUGUGCAGGCCCCUGGUGUUCCCUGAGAGCUGCUUGCACACAAUCUGGAGUGAUUGCAAGUAGCAAUUAACUACUGGCAAUUAACUAAUGCCACAACUCAACGGGUCAGAGACGUGGUGCUGUUCUGACCCCGACUCACGUCACAGCAGCCCACGAGUUCCACGGUCGCUGGUUCCGAGCCUUCAGGCCUGGCAGAGGGGCACCAGAGAAGACCACCCACGCAAAACCCCACCUAAAAGCUGCCCUGGGAGUCUCAGCUAAUUACAGACUUGAAAAAUUAUUUCCACCUUUCUGCGGCUCUUUCCCCUUUCAUAAAAUAAAGCAGCAUCUCUUCAACAGCUCCUGAAAGGAUGGCUGGUGCUAACAGAACACUGCGUAAUGCAGGUACAUAAAUGGAGCCUUAUCAGGAGGGUGCACAGUUAUUUAAACAGACUUGUUUUAUGGCCCCGCCAGUCACAUGCAACAGGUUUCUAUAGGAACCAAAUUUAUUUCCAUAAUAACAAGUCAAGCUACCUGUCAAUUUAAUGAAGGUUUUAGCGAGCAGCUCCAACUCUAGAGCACUGGGGUAGACGUUUCGGAGCAGUUCAAGUGGCAGCAAAAUAACAUUUCUUCAGCACAAGGUUCUGAGUACAGGGUGCACCACCCAGAUUUCCAUCACUUUUGAUAUUCAGAAGAAUGCAACAGUUAACUUCAUCAUCUCCCUAAACACACUUAUGAGCACCUAACUCUCAUGGGCCAAACUCUCCUGUCACUUAAGUGUUGGAAAAUACUAUUUUGCACACCAUAGUCCCAAGUGUGGUGUAGCAGGGAACGGCAAAAGUCUCUCUUGUACAGCCUUAACCUCUGGAACAGUCCCGUUAAUCACUGUAUUUGGCAACCCCAGCCACUGGGGGUAAGAAAACAGACCCAAAGCAGCAGCAUGUGGAAGAGGGGUCACACUAAGGACUAGAGCUUUUUCUUGCAUUAGGAAGGAAUGAAAGGUAGUGUAGAUAUUAUUGACUUUAUUUUAAGAGAGAUUCUGCUUUGAGCAGAGGUUUGCGUGUCCGCCCCACUUGUGUUUCAGCAUGAGGUAAAAGCAGUGCUUCAGUAAAAGAGCGCCAUAGGAUUGAAGGCUGAAACUUUGAAAAGCAUUAAUUUUCAAAGCAUACCUCUUACCCCGGUCAACACAGAGAUGCUGAAGUCUGAGAAUGUCGAUAAAGACUCUGGCAGGACUAUAACCCCAGCUGUUCUUGGCUGCCUAAUCAACCUGCCACUCAAACGUAUCUCAAAUAGAUGGGGACACUGAAAAUUCCUGUUCUAGAAGGAUUAUUUCAAAAAUUUAUUUUAAAAAAACACAACAGGAUCACUUCGUCUUCUUUAUUUAUUUGGCAAUAAAAGUCAAAGCUCAUAAGAGUUACAGUAAGGUUUUAUUUAAAAAAAUAUUCAAAUUUAAGAAAUUAAAACUUGGUGUAGAAAGUGAACAAAGCUUGCUCUGUGAAGUUUGCAUUAAGGACUGAAGAUAGUUAAAAGGUCAGGAGAAUGUUUGUUACCAAUUCAUAGUAAAGCCUGUAGACAUACAGACUAGACCAGGAUUGUAUUAAUUGCUCCAGUUAGUCUUGCUAUUUAAAAAACAAUCAUUAAAAAUACUUGAGAAAAUACUUCAACAAACACAAGGAAAUGCUAUCCUACUUAAUGCUCAAGUUUCUGUCAUCUUCUCUCCCUUCCCCUAAUUGUGGGCCCUUGCAGGCAGAGGUACACCUGCUGGUGGAAGCCCUCCACACACCCUCUCAAAGCACAUUAUCUACAAACCUGCUUCUCUUAGUCAUCCUUCAGAAAAACUCUCACAGCAGCCAAGGACUGCAGGCUGAAAGGCAGCAGCAUGGAGUGCUUGAAGCUAUAUCCCAGCAUGGAUUCAAUCCAACAGUAUCCUUCCUCCCUACUACUGCUCCUGCUGUUACGGAGAGAUGUGCUGAACAAACCAGCUUCCCAAAUAUAUACCCAUAAAGCAAUUUCAUAAGUAGUCAGUUUGUGAUAAAUAUCUGAAGUAAGAAACACCACAGAGAAGACACAGAAAUUGAACAAUGUCAGAAAUACCAGUAUUACAGAUAAGAGGCCUUAAUUACUGGUCAGGACAUCUUGUCAACUUCCAGAGCUCCUACACGAGCAUCAAGCUUGAUUUUAUUGUAAUUAUUUGCUCACUGAUGAUCCACAGUUCACAGAAGCACAUUAGAAGAUGACUUAAUUCAUUUAACAUUGGCAUUUUAUUCCCUUACUUUGAAAACAGCCAUGAAUAAAAUACAGUAGCUUAUUAAAACUCCAUUGCAUGGAGAAAAAAACACCUUUCCGUUCAUAACUUAGAAAAUGGUUAAGACAGCUCUUCACAACUCAAGGGCAAUUAAGAUUGUUAGUGCUACAGAAGUUCAAGCCAUUACCGAAAAAAUGGAUAAGAUGGAACUUCUGCAUUGUUUUGGCAGAAAGCAAAUAUUUGUUCCAGUCCAGUUGAGGGAUGAGCUUGGUAAGCACUGCAGACCUAACUUUUAUCAUCAUAAUGUACAUAUUGAUUAUGAAAGAACAAAUGCAGAAACUGGAAACUAAUACAGACUUUGGUGAAAAACAUCUGCUGCUUUAAAAGUGACCUAUUGAAACUUUAAAUUAAUACCAUCAUUAUAGAACAAUAAUUUUCAAGAGCCUUCCUGUGAAGGGAACAUGGGAGUGAACUGAAGGACUUGAGCAUUUGCUAUCACAGUAAGUUCACCUAAGGUGAAAGGAAAGAGAGUGGGAAAAAUGCUAAUGUCCCUUGGUUGCUGCCAGCUGAGUGGGGGUACCCUUUGCCAGAAUACUCCCUGCCUUCCACUUCCACUUCGGAUCCAUCAUAGAAACUGCUACGUAAGCAAGCACAGGUUUUAAUAAAAGUACAUCAAGAGGGCUUAUAUUAGCAAUUACUGGCCACUCCUGGAAGGAGACAAGUGAAUACCCCCAUUUCACCUCUGCCCCUCAAAGGGAAAGCAGCAGGCCAGCAAUCUGCCAAUAUACAGAAAAGAAUUUCUACAUAUAGAUAUGAAUAUAGAGAAGUUGCACCACCAGCUUUAAGUACACGUUUCCCCUCUAAAGAAAGAGGUCUUUAGAAAUGAAGUUACAUAUGUAACAGUGAGAAUAAGGCAAAUAUAUACAGACCUUCUCAGAAGGUUUGCAAUGGUCACUAGUAAGACAGACUAACCCAAAGCUCGUUUGAGCUUGCAAAUGGCUUAAGAAAUGCACUUAAUUUCUAGUUGCUUCACUACAGUUAACAGGUUAAUCUGUCCAAUUAAUGAGUUGUACCAUCAUCAUAAAAACAAAGAAAAAACACAACUUCAGCAAUAUACAAGAAUAGGAAAG
Molecule: long non-coding RNA, 6157 nt
Organism: Cygnus atratus (black swan)
Lineage: Eukaryota; Metazoa; Chordata; Aves; Anseriformes; Anatidae
Exons: 4
Source: RefSeq, a predicted model, not a curated record